AUAAGUGUAAAGUGCACAAAAAGUUUUGAUCUUUUAAGGACUAGUGUAAUUCUGGUGGGUAUAAG
RNAcentral lists this transfer RNA (65 nucleotides) under Geocharax gracilis. RNAcentral describes it as "tRNA-Gln". The record is from RNAcentral. Lineage: Eukaryota; Metazoa; Arthropoda; Malacostraca; Decapoda; Parastacidae.